AUGGAUGCGGCGAGACAGCAUCCAGAAGAUAGAACUCACAAAAGCAAAACCAGCUAUAGAGAAGCCGGGUCCUGCUAUACCGGCGGCUGGCUACCCCAUCACGCCCUCCCCUUGGAUCGUCCUCCCUCCCGAGCCCGAGGAAACCAACCCAAACUGCACCGCUUCAGCCCCUCGGAACCCCCGCGGCCCCCUCCCGUCCCAGCACCUCUCAGCCCCCAACACUCGGACCCCCAGCGUCACCCGCCUCUAGGUCCGCCGUUCAACCGCCGCCCUCCGAGCCCCGCCCCGCAGCAACCUGCACCGGCUUCUCAUUGGCCAAAAGGCGCCAGCUUCCGGGGGGUCAUUGGCCGCCGCCGCCGCCCAUACAGAGAAAGCCUGCCCCCCGCCAAAUUUGGUUUUUAUUGGCCAGGAACGUGCGUCAUACCAGAUUUUUAUUGGCUAACUUGGCAGCCCGUCGAGCUAAGUCCGGCCUCUAGGACUGCCAGUCUGGAUAAUCCAGCUCUAGAACCUCCGACUGUCCGGACGGUAGGCCCGUCUCUGCCGUUUAUUGGUCACUCAGGUGCCAGUUAGACCAGGAUCGGGGCGGGUCUACGGGAGCUAUUCCGACGGUCCCCCGAGUUGGUACCCAAAUCGCUGCGAUGCUGGGACUGGAGGCUCAGAGCUCCGUACCAGGCGCUCCCUUCCAAACCAAGCCGGGGGUGCUAAGCGAGGGACGGAGGAACCUUAAAACUGGAAGGCAUUGAGCCACCCCCCCCCCCAAAUAUUGCCACAGAGGCCCAACGAUCCCCUUUACACACCUGAGCAAACUCCCAAAGUAAUACUUCCGAAACAUGGCCUCUUCCCCUCGGCACUCUCUGGCUCAAGAAACCCCCGUGGCUCCCUAUCACCUAGAACAGAUUAAAUUAGAUUUCCUAGUCUGACGCUCCAAAUUUACAGCCUUAUUCCUACAGGACUCUUUUUCUAACACUACAUUCCAGGUUGUACUCCUACAUGCUGUUCUUUCAACACGUAGUCAUCCAUCUCCCAUCUCUGGAAAUUUACUCCUUUCUCCACAUAUUAGAUCAGCUCCAGUGCUACCUCCCAAGGCAGGCCUGUGUGCCUGGCCACCAGAAAUUGUAUAUAUUUUAUAUUUGAGAAAAAAGCCAAGCAGAGACCUGGGUUCAAACCCUCCUCCUCCAAACUUCCCUCUAGGAACAAAUCCCCCAGACUCACAACCUAGGUGGUAUCCUCUCAGUCCCUUGUUCUCUGUUUAUUUUUUCCCUAAAACCCUUUCUUUCUGUCUUAGUAACAACUCUUAAGAAGGCCAAGGGCUAGGCAGUGCAGGAGUUAAGUGACUAACCCAGGGUCAUGUAGCUAGGAAGUGUCUGAGUCCAAAUUUGAACCCAAGACCUCCUGUCUCUGGGCCUGGCUCUCAAUCCACUGAGCUACCCAGCUGUCCCCUAAUAAAUUUUUAUUGACUGACA
This 1463-nucleotide long non-coding RNA is filed under the name Monodelphis domestica (gray short-tailed opossum). RNAcentral's name for it is "lncRNA (ENSMODG00000051462.1)". The record is from RNAcentral. Lineage: Eukaryota; Metazoa; Chordata; Mammalia; Didelphimorphia; Didelphidae.